Saccostrea echinata is the source of this 244-nucleotide long non-coding RNA. RefSeq lists it as uncharacterized. Lineage: Eukaryota; Metazoa; Mollusca; Bivalvia; Ostreida; Ostreidae. The record is from RefSeq and is a predicted model, not a curated record. The transcript is spliced from 3 exons.
AGAAAGGGUGGAAAAGACUCCUUUGGAUUGAUGAUUUUCUCUGCUUUAAAGAGAAGAAGUGACCAAGACGACAACUUUUCUGGCUUUGCCAAAAGGAGAACAGUUUCCAUGUGAUGAAGCAAAGAAAGCAGAGAAUAUUCCAAGAAACCGAUAUAAAACUACAUUUCCCUACGAUCACUCUCGUGUGGUGUUACAGUGCAGCUCACAAAAAGAGUCCGACUACAUAAAUGCAAACUAUUUGGAG